UACGUAGGUGACAAGCGUUGUCCGGAUUUACUGGGCGUAAAGAGCGCGCAGGCGGUCGUUCAAGUCGAGUGUGAAAGCCCCCGGCCCAACUGGGGAGGGUCAUUCGAUACUGAUCGACUCGAAGGCAGGAGAGGGAAGUGGAAUUCCCGGUGUAGUGGUGAAAUGCGUAGAUAUCGGGAGGAACACCAGUGGCGAAGGCGACUUCCUGGCCUGUUCUUGACGCUGAGGCGCGAAAGCUAGGGGAGCAAACGGG
This 253-nucleotide ribosomal RNA is filed under the name uncultured bacterium. Its description in RNAcentral is "partial 16S ribosomal RNA". It matches the Rfam family "Bacterial small subunit ribosomal RNA", at positions 524 to 776 of the family's 1533-position model. The record is from RNAcentral.